This is a long non-coding RNA of Hemicordylus capensis (graceful crag lizard), 417 nucleotides long. RefSeq lists it as uncharacterized. The transcript is spliced from 3 exons. The record is from RefSeq and is a predicted model, not a curated record. Lineage: Eukaryota; Metazoa; Chordata; Lepidosauria; Squamata; Cordylidae.
CGACCGUGGUUAGGAAGCGGAGACUGGGGCAGAAGGUGUGAGGGGGAAGAAGUAACCGUCGGUCCCAAAGAGUGCACAGAUGCUCUGUGCGGGGUCGUGAAACUGGGUCACUUCUGCUACUUCCUCACCAUAUGUGUGACAGAACAACAUGCAUCUUAGGCCUUAGCUUGCUGUGAUUCAGAACUGGGAAGAUUCUCAUCACCGGGCACUUUAGCCUGGACGUUGCACCAAAGAAAAAGCUUUGAACUGUUACUGAAGCUUAUUCUAACCUUGCUGGGAUGAAAAGGAAGGUGGGCACUCGGGAUAUUAAAGGCCUGACUUUCAAAUGUCCCCACAUCUGAUCAAAUAACUGAACACUUGUGGUAAUGGAAGAUCAUUUGUUCCUUGCUAGAAAGGGGAAUAAAAAGAGUAGAAUCA